This 430-nucleotide ribosomal RNA is filed under the name uncultured bacterium. RNAcentral's name for it is "bacterial SSU rRNA". It matches the Rfam family "Bacterial small subunit ribosomal RNA", at positions 354 to 796 of the family's 1533-position model. The record is from RNAcentral.
GUGGGGAAUAUUGCGCAAUGGGCGAAAGCCUGACGCAGCGACGCCGCGUGAGGGACGACGGCCUUCGGGUUGUAAACCUCUUUCAGCGCCGAAGAAGCGAAAGUGACGGUAGGCGCAGAAGAAGCACCGGCUAACUACGUGCCAGCAGCCGCGGUAAUACGUAGGGUGCAAGCGUUGUCCGGAUUUAUUGGGCGUAAAGAGCUCGUAGGCGGUCUGUCGCGUCGGAUGUGAAAACCCGGGGCUUAACUCCGGGCCUGCAUUCGAUACGGGCAGACUAGAGUGUGGUAGGGGAGACUGGAACUCCUGGUGUAGCGGUGAAAUGCGCAGAUAUCAGGAAGAACACCGGUGGCGAAGGCGGGUCUCUGGGCCACUACUGACGCUGAGGAGCGAAAGCGUGGGGAGCAAACAGGAUUAGAUACCCGUGUAGUCC